CUUGUAAGAGCCCAGCACAGCACAGAUUUACAAAAUGAUACACAAAGACCUCAGAGCCCAAGUUUCCAGCCUGAUGUUCUGCCUUGUGGAUUUCAGAUUUGCCAAGCCCCACAAUUACAUAAUGAAAUUCCUUAAAGAAGCGAACUUUUGCUAUUGCACAGACCUGCUGCCUCCAGAGCGCCAUGCCACUGAUUGUUUUCCUUGUUUCAUGGAAGGAAGACAAAACUUGUUCCAGCUCAACAAGGCUUCCUGUAUCUUUUGCCCCAUCAGUUUGUAAUUGUCCCCAAAUUCCAAUAUCUAAAACAUAAGAUCAGUAUUUUAUAAAGUGCCAUUUUAGUUAUGCAUUAUUUAGCUUUUCCUAUGAUAAAUUUUCCUACAAAGAUGUCAAAGUUACCCUCUUGGGCCAAGAUACAAGUAAUCUAAUGUAUGACAUUAUUAGAGCAACUAUUGAAGAAAUGGGAAAGAAGCAGAAAGUAUUCAUAUAAUAAAAUAAAACCUUGUGUUUUCUGAUUUUAAA
Molecule: non-coding RNA, 517 nt
Filed under: Pongo abelii (Sumatran orangutan)
Lineage: Eukaryota; Metazoa; Chordata; Mammalia; Primates; Hominidae
Source: RNAcentral